Molecule: ribosomal RNA, 238 nt
Filed under: Gilliamella sp. Bim1-2
Lineage: Bacteria; Pseudomonadati; Pseudomonadota; Gammaproteobacteria; Orbales; Orbaceae
Description: partial 16S ribosomal RNA
Rfam family: Bacterial small subunit ribosomal RNA
Source: RNAcentral
UUAAAUUGAAGAGUUUGAUCAUGGCUCAGAUUGAACGCUGGCGGCAGGCUUAACACAUGCAAGUCGAACGGUAACAUGAGUGCUUGCACUUGAUGACGAGUGGCGGACGGGUGAGUAAGGUAUGGGGAUCUGCCGAAUGGAGGGGGACAACAGUUGGAAACGACUGCUAAUACCGCAUAAAGUUGAGAAACCAAAGCAUGGGACCUACGGGCCAUGCGCCAUUUGAUGAACCCAUAUG